UACGUAGGUGGCAAGCGUUGUCCGGAUUUAUUGGGUUUAAAGGGUGCGUAGGCGGUUUCUUAAGUCAGUGGUGAAAUACGGCAGCUCAACUGUCGAGGUGCCAUUGAUACUGGGAAACUUGAGUACUGAUGAGGUAGGCGGAAUGGACGGUGUAGCGGUGAAAUGCUUAGAGAUCGUCCAGAACACCGAUAGCGAAGGCAGCUUACUAAGGAGUAACUGACGCUGAGGCACGAAAGUGUGGGGAUCAAACAGG
RNAcentral lists this ribosomal RNA (253 nucleotides) under uncultured bacterium. RNAcentral's name for it is "partial 16S ribosomal RNA". It matches the Rfam family "Bacterial small subunit ribosomal RNA", at positions 524 to 776 of the family's 1533-position model. The record is from RNAcentral. RNAcentral also lists the same sequence under 1 other name.